Molecule: ribosomal RNA, 440 nt
Filed under: uncultured bacterium
Lineage: Bacteria
Description: partial 16S ribosomal RNA
Rfam family: Bacterial small subunit ribosomal RNA
Source: RNAcentral
CCUACGGGUGGCAGCAGUGGGGAAUAUUGCACAAUGGGGGAAACCCUGAUGCAGCGACGCCGCGUGAGUGAAGAAGUAUCUCGGUACGUAAAGCUCUAUCAGCAGGGAAGAAAAUGACGGUACCUGACUAAGAAGCCCCGGCUAACUACGUGCCAGCAGCCCGGGUAAUACGUAGGGGGCAAGCGUUAUCCGGAUUUACUGGGUGUAAAGGGAGCGUAGACGGCAGCACAAGUCCGGAGUGAAAUCCCGGGGCUUAACCCCGGACCAGCCUUUGAAACUGGGCGACUGGAGUGCAGGAGGGGUAAGCGGAAUUCCUAGUGUAGCGGUGAAAUGCGUAGAUAUUAGGAGGAACACCGGUGGCGAAGGCGGCUUACUGGCCUGUAACUGACGUUGAGGCUCGAAAGCGUGGGGAGCAAACAGGAUUAGAUACCCCAGUAGUC